This 486-nucleotide ribosomal RNA is filed under the name uncultured bacterium. RNAcentral's name for it is "bacterial SSU rRNA". It matches the Rfam family "Bacterial small subunit ribosomal RNA", at positions 28 to 512 of the family's 1533-position model. The record is from RNAcentral.
GAUGAACGCUAGCGGCAGGCCUAAUACAUGCAAGUCGAAGGAGAUUGAGGAGCUUGCUCCUCAUGAAAGUGGCGCACGGGUGCGUAACGCGUAUGCAAUCUACCUUAAUCAGGGGGAUAGCCCGGAGAAAUCCGGAUUAAUACCGCAUAACGUUAUUUUAUGGCAUCAUAGAAUAACCAAAUAUUUAUGGGAUUAAGAUGAGCAUGCGUGACAUUAGUUAGUUGGUGAGGUAACGGCUCACCAAGACUACGAUGUCUAGGGGAUCUGAGAGGAUGACCCCCCACACUGGUACUGAGACACGGACCAGACUCCUACGGGAGGCAGCAGUAAGGAAUAUUGGUCAAUGGGCGCAAGCCUGAACCAGCCAUGCCGCGUGCAGGAAGACGGCCCCUAUGGGUUGUAAACUGCUUUUAUUCGGGAUAAACCUCUUUACGUGUAAGGAGCUGAAUGUACCGAGGAAUAAGGAUCGGCUAACUCCGUGCCAGC